GCUGGUAGCAUACUGGUUAGUGCUGUUCCUUUUGGACGCAAAGAUUGUGGGUUCAAUUCCCACCUCCAGCU
RNAcentral lists this transfer RNA (71 nucleotides) under Scleropages formosus (Asian bonytongue). It matches the Rfam family "tRNA". Rfam says of the family: Transfer RNA (tRNA) molecules are approximately 80 nucleotides in length. The record is from Rfam by way of RNAcentral. Lineage: Eukaryota; Metazoa; Chordata; Actinopteri; Osteoglossiformes; Osteoglossidae.